UACGUAGGGCGCAAGCGUUAUCCGGAAUUACUGGGCGUAAAGCGCACGUAGGCGGCUUUCUAAGUCGGGGGUGAAAGCCUGUGGCUCAACCACAGAAUUGCCUUCGAUACUGUAGAGCUUGAGACCGGAAGAGGUUAGUGGAACUGCGAGUGUAGAGGUGAAAUUCGUAGAUAUUCGCAAGAACACCAGUGGCGAAGGCGGCUGACUGGUCCGGUUCUGACGCUGAGGCGCGAAAGCGUGGGGAGCAAACAGG
RNAcentral lists this ribosomal RNA (253 nucleotides) under uncultured bacterium. RNAcentral's name for it is "partial 16S ribosomal RNA". It matches the Rfam family "Bacterial small subunit ribosomal RNA", at positions 524 to 776 of the family's 1533-position model. The record is from RNAcentral.